CGAAGUCUGGUGCCUAGCAGCCGCGGUAAUCCAGCUCCAAUAGCGUAUAUUAAAGUUGUUGCAGUUAAAAAGCUCGUAGUUGAAUUUCGGGGUUAGUAGGUUGGUCGUGCCACUGGUACGUACUGGUCUCACUGACUCCUCCUUCCUGAUGAACUGUAAUGCCAUUAAUUUGGUGUUGCGGGAAACUGGACUGUUACUUUGAAAAAAUUAGAAUGUUUAAAGCAAGCUAACGCUUGAAUACAUUAGCAUGGAAUAAUGAAAUAGGACGUUCGAUCCUAUUUUAGUUGGUUUCUAGGGAUUGACGUAAUGAUUAAUAGGGAUAUUGGGGGCAUUAGUAUUCAAUUGUCAGAGGUGAAAUUCUUGGAUUUAUUGAAGACUAACUACUGCGAAAGCAUUUGCCAAGGAUGUUUUCAUUAAUCAAGAACGAAAGUUAGGGGAUCGAAGACGAUCAGAUACCGUCGUAGUCUUAACCAUAAACUAUGCCGACUAGGGAUCGGAUGAUGUUAAUUUUUUUAAUGACUCAUUCGGCGCCUUACG
RNAcentral lists this ribosomal RNA (537 nucleotides) under uncultured Glomus. RNAcentral describes it as "SSU rRNA". It matches the Rfam family "Eukaryotic small subunit ribosomal RNA", at positions 555 to 1092 of the family's 1831-position model. Lineage: Eukaryota; Fungi; Glomeromycota; Glomeromycetes; Glomerales; Glomeraceae. The record is from RNAcentral.